AUGAAGAAAGCAAGGCG
RNAcentral lists this ribosomal RNA (17 nucleotides) under Candidatus Phytoplasma balanitae. RNAcentral's name for it is "partial 23S ribosomal RNA". The record is from RNAcentral. Lineage: Bacteria; Bacillati; Mycoplasmatota; Mollicutes; Acholeplasmatales; Acholeplasmataceae.